This 483-nucleotide ribosomal RNA is filed under the name uncultured bacterium. RNAcentral's name for it is "partial 16S ribosomal RNA". It matches the Rfam family "Bacterial small subunit ribosomal RNA", at positions 30 to 507 of the family's 1533-position model. The record is from RNAcentral.
AUUGAACGCUGGCGGCAGGCCUAACACAUGCAAGUCGAGCGGAUGAAGGGAGCUUGCUCCUGGAUUCAGCGGCGGACGGGUGAGUAAUGCCUAGGAAUCUGCCUGGUAGUGGGGGAUAACGUCCGGAAACGGGCGCUAAUACCGCAUACGUCCUGAGGGAGAAAGUGGGGGAUCUUCGGACCUCACGCUAUCAGAUGAGCCUAGGUCGGAUUAGCUAGUUGGUGGGGUAAAGGCCUACCAAGGCGACGAUCCGUAACUGGUCUGAGAGGAUGAUCAGUCACACUGGAACUGAGACACGGUCCAGACUCCUACGGGAGGCAGCAGUGGGGAAUAUUGGACAAUGGGCGAAAGCCUGAUCCAGCCAUGCCGCGUGUGUGAAGAAGGUCUUCGGAUUGUAAAGCACUUUAAGUUGGGAGGAAGGGCAGUAAGUUAAGACCUUGCUGUUUUGACGUUACCAACAGAAUAGCACCGGCUAACUUCGUG